Molecule: ribosomal RNA, 439 nt
Filed under: uncultured bacterium
Lineage: Bacteria
Description: partial 16S ribosomal RNA
Rfam family: Bacterial small subunit ribosomal RNA
Source: RNAcentral
CUACAGGGGGCUGCAGUGGGGAAUAUUGCACAAUGGACGAAAGUCUGAUGCAGCAACGCCGCGUGGAGGAUGACACAUUUCGGUGCGUAAACUCCUUUUAUAUAGGAAGAUAAUGACGGUACUAUAUGAAUAAGCGCCGGCUAACUCCGUGCCAGCAGCCGCGGUAAUACGGAGGGCGCAAGCGUUACUCGGAAUCACUGGGCGUAAAGAGCGUGUAGGCGGAUAGAUAAGUCAGGAGUGAAAUCCUAUGGCUCAACCAUAGAACUGCUCUUGAAACUGUCUAUCUAGAAUAUGGGAGAGGUAGAUGGAAUUUCUGGUGUAGGGGUAAAAUCCGUAGAGAUCAGAAGGAAUACCGAUUGCGAAGGCGAUCUACUGGAACAUUAUUGACGCUGAGACGCGAAAGCGUGGGGAGCAAACAGGAUUAGAUACCCCUGUAGUC